UUUAAAUUGAUGACGGAACGAGUAUGUUACAGUCCAUUUUUAGAGAGAAACUUCCAUCGGCUGAAAGAAGUUUUAAAUGAAGGGUAACAGAACGCUAAUCCUGAGAGCAGCUAAUCACUGCCGUCUUGCCACGUUACGGCACCAUGAGGUGAUGAAAUAAAUGCAUAUUGUUAUGAUAUGCAAUCUAGCUUCAGCGUCUAAAAGCAAGACGCUUCUGCUUUUUAUUUCAUAAUUAGGGUGGUAUCGCGAGUUAACUCUCGUCCCUUUU
RNAcentral lists this non-coding RNA (268 nucleotides) under Bacillus gaemokensis. RNAcentral's name for it is "T-box sequence". It matches the Rfam family "T-box leader". Rfam says of the family: Uncharged tRNA acts as the effector for transcription antitermination of genes in the T-box leader family. T-boxes are found upstream of many aminoacyl-tRNA synthetase genes and some amino acid biosynthetic genes usually in Gram-positive bacteria. The anticodon of a specific tRNA base pairs to a specifier sequence within the T-box motif, and the NCCA acceptor tail of the tRNA base pairs to a conserved bulge in the T-box antiterminator hairpin. Lineage: Bacteria; Bacillati; Bacillota; Bacilli; Caryophanales; Bacillaceae. The record is from RNAcentral.